Molecule: long non-coding RNA, 527 nt
Organism: Miniopterus natalensis
Lineage: Eukaryota; Metazoa; Chordata; Mammalia; Chiroptera; Miniopteridae
Source: RefSeq, a predicted model, not a curated record
GCCACCGCGGAGGCCUCGCGGCCGGAGCUGUGGCCCAGCCGCCCUGCCCUCUGGGGGUGUACGGGCUGCGGCACCUUCUGGAAGGCCGGGCCCGCUGCGCUGACGUAGGCUGAGGGGAGCGGCCGCGGCCCCGGAAGGCUUUGGUGGAGAAGACUUCGGUCCUUAAAUUAGUCCGGGCGUCCCCUCUGCGGCCAGACCCCAGGCCUUCCCCAUCGCUCCCUCCAUCUUCGUUCCAGGCCUGUGCGGAGCGGCGGGGACAGACCGGGACGUGCAGCCUCCCGGCGCCGGGCGCCCACGGGCUGUGCUGCGAGGCCGGGUCCCGGCGUUCCCGCGGGGCGGACGAACAGCCAGGCCUCCCCGCUCCCCGCAGCCCCGAGCUAGGUACCAGCACAAUCCGGUGAUCCCCGCCUGGGCCCAGCCUCCGCAGGCUUCCGAACUGGAAUUGAGCAGCUACCCUACCCAGGAGUAGUACCUUAGGUAUUGGGAAGUUUCAGAUGGACUGAUUUUAUUAAAGGAUUUUUUUAAAA